UUGGAGGGCAAGUCUGGUGCCAGCAGCCGCGGUAAUUCCAGCUCCAAUAGCGUAUAUUAAAGUUGUUGCAGUUAAAAAGCUCGUAGUUGAAUUUCGGGAUUCAUCCGUUGGUCGGGCUUCACGGUCCGUACUGGUGUGAUGGAUUCCUACCUUCUGAAUAACCGGCAUGCCAUUAAUUUGGUGCGCCGGGGAAGCAGAACUAUUACCUUGAAAAAAUUAGAGUGCUUAAAGCAGGCAAGUGCCUGAAUAGGUUAGCAUGGAAUAAUAAAAUAGGACGGCAUGGUUCUAUUUUGUUGGUUUCUAGGAUCACCGUAAUGAUUAAUAGGGAUAGUUGGGGGCAUUAGUAUUCAAUUGUCAGAGGUGAAAUUCUUGGAUUUAUUGAAGACUAACUUCUGCGAAAGCAUUUGCCAAGGAUGUUUUCAUUAAUCAAGAACGAAAGUUAGGGGAUCGAAGACGAUCAGAUACCGUCGUAGUCUUAACCAUAAACUAUGCCGACUAGGGAUCGGACGAUGUUAAUUUUUUAAUGACUCGUUCGGCGCCUUACGGGAAAC
Molecule: ribosomal RNA, 551 nt
Filed under: uncultured Acaulospora
Lineage: Eukaryota; Fungi; Glomeromycota; Glomeromycetes; Diversisporales; Acaulosporaceae
Description: SSU rRNA
Rfam family: Eukaryotic small subunit ribosomal RNA
Source: RNAcentral